GACGAACGCUGGCGGCGUGCUUAACACAUGCAAGUCGAACGGAAAGGCCCUGCUUUUGUGGGGUGCUCGAGUGGCGAACGGGUGAGUAACACGUGAGUAACCUGCCCUUGACUUUGGGAUAACUUCAGGAAACUGGGGCUAAUACCGGAUAGGAGCUCCUGCUGCAUGGUGGGGGUUGGAAAGUUUCGGCGGUUGGGGAUGGACUCGCGGCUUAUCAGCUUGUUGGUGGGGUAGUGGCUUACCAAGGCUUUGACGGGUAGCCGGCCUGAGAGGGUGACCGGCCACAUUGGGACUGAGAUACGGCCCAGACUCCUACAGGAGGCAGCAGUGGGGAAUAUUGCACAAUGGGCGGAAGCCUGAUGCAGCAACGCCGCGUGCGGGAUGACGGCCUUCGGGUUGUAAACCGCUUUCGCCUGUGACGAAGCGUGAGUGACGGCAAUGGGUAAAGAAGCACCGGCUAACUACGUG
Molecule: ribosomal RNA, 468 nt
Filed under: uncultured bacterium
Lineage: Bacteria
Description: partial 16S ribosomal RNA
Rfam family: Bacterial small subunit ribosomal RNA
Source: RNAcentral